Molecule: long non-coding RNA, 421 nt
Filed under: Zostera marina
Lineage: Eukaryota; Viridiplantae; Streptophyta; Magnoliopsida; Alismatales; Zosteraceae
Description: long non-coding RNA (ZMAR_LNC005003)
Source: RNAcentral
GGUGAACCGUGUUCAUUGUAUCUCGAUGAAACAGCGCCAACUUAUGGACAUCCAUAAGAAGCUUCAAUGGCAUGAGAAAAUCGAGGCCGAUGGAAAGACAAGCUACUGGCCGUCAAAGAAUGAUCAAGAUGAUGUUCAGAUCAAGAAGAAGAUCAUUGGUGGUACCGGCGUUUACAUACCUCCUAAUCCUGCUCCCAAACUUUAUAAUAGCCGUAGGAAAAAGCCAUCACUACCACCGCCGCCGUCAUCACCGGUUACAUUCUCCGAUGCAUCAUUCAAUGAGAAGGAAGAAGAUGAAAGACUGAUCAAGUUACUGAAUCUCCCCUCAGAAUGGACGUAUUAAUGAUCGUUCUCCAGAAUAAGUUAUAUACUCUAAGAUUUCUUAUUAUGUAGAAUAAUAAUCUGUAAGUUCAGAUUUUUG